CCUACGGGAGGCAGCAGUGAGGAAUAUUGGUCAAUGGACGAGAGUCUGAACCAGCCAAGUAGCGUGAAGGAUGACUGCCCUAUGGGUUGUAAACUUCUUUUAUAUGGGAAUAAAAUGUUCCACGUGUGGGAUUUUGUAUGUACCAUAUGAAUAAGGAUCGGCUAACUCCGUGCCAGCAGCCUCGGUAAUACGGAGGAUCCGAGCGUUAUCCGGAUUUAUUGGGUUUAAAGGGAGCGUAGGUGGAUUGUUAAGUCAGUUGUGAAAGUUUGCGGCUCAACCGUAAAAUUGCAGUUGAAACUGGCAGUCUUGAGUACAGUAGAGGUGGGCGGAAUUCGUGGUGUAGCGGUGAAAUGCUUAGAUAGCACGAAGAACUCCGAUUGCGAAGGCAGUUCACUGGACUGCAACUGACACUGAGGCUCGAAAGUGUGGGUAUCAAACAGGAUUAGAUACCCGUGUAGUC
This 460-nucleotide ribosomal RNA is filed under the name uncultured bacterium. RNAcentral describes it as "partial 16S ribosomal RNA". It matches the Rfam family "Bacterial small subunit ribosomal RNA", at positions 338 to 795 of the family's 1533-position model. The record is from RNAcentral.